This 510-nucleotide ribosomal RNA is filed under the name Nesterenkonia sp. EGI80214. RNAcentral's name for it is "bacterial SSU rRNA". It matches the Rfam family "Bacterial small subunit ribosomal RNA", at positions 121 to 644 of the family's 1533-position model. The record is from RNAcentral. Lineage: Bacteria; Bacillati; Actinomycetota; Actinomycetes; Micrococcales; Micrococcaceae.
GUAACCUUCCCUUAACUCUGGGAUAAGCCCGGGAAACUGGGUCUAAUACCGGAUACGACCAGUCCUCGCAUGGGGUGCUGGUGGAAAGAUUUAUCGGUUUUGGAUGGACUCGCGGCCUAUCAGCUUGUUGGUGAGGUAAUGGCUCACCAAGGCGAUGACGGGUAGCCGGCCUGAGAGGGUGACCGGCCACACUGGGACUGAGACACGGCCCAGACUCCUACGGGAGGCAGCAGUGGGGAAUAUUGCACAAUGGGCGAAAGCCUGAUGCAGCGACGCCGCGUGCGGGAUGACGGCCUUCGGGUUGUAAACCGCUUUCAGCAGGGAAGAAGCGAAAGUGACGGUACCUGCAGAAGAAGCGCCGGCUAACUACGUGCCAGCAGCCGCGGUAAUACGUAGGGCGCGAGCGUUAUCCGGAAUUAUUGGGCGUAAAGAGCUCGUAGGCGGUUUGUCACGUCUGCUGUGAAAGCCCGGGGCUCAACCCCGGGUGUGCAGUGGGUACGGGCAGACUAG